UACGUAGGGUGCAAGCGUUAAUCGGAAUUACUGGGCGUAAAGCGUGCGCAGGCGGUUUUGUAAGUCUGACGUGAAAUCCCCGGGCUCAACCUGGGAAUUGCGUUGGAGACUGCAAGGCUAGAAUCUGGCAGAGGGGGGUAGAAUUCCACGUGUAGCAGUGAAAUGCGUAGAGAUGUGGAGGAACACCGAUGGCGAAGGCAGCCCCCUAGGUCAAGAUUGACGCUCAUGCACGAAAGCGUGGGGAGCAAACAGG
This 253-nucleotide ribosomal RNA is filed under the name uncultured bacterium. Its description in RNAcentral is "partial 16S ribosomal RNA". It matches the Rfam family "Bacterial small subunit ribosomal RNA", at positions 524 to 776 of the family's 1533-position model. The record is from RNAcentral.